UUUCUCAGGACACCCUGCUGCACAGGGAAGUGUGUGAGCAGUCAGGAAAACUUUCUGACACUGACAGGACUCUGCUGCAGAGGUGCAGCUGGGACAAUGCAGCCCUAGAACCCACAGAAUGCAAGAGCUGAGCUAAUGAAGUGUUGGCUGCUGGUAAAGAAAUUAAAGUAUCUGCAGUUCUUCAUAUGACUCCAAAA
Long non-coding RNA from Taeniopygia guttata (zebra finch), 197 nucleotides. RefSeq lists it as uncharacterized. NCBI's taxonomy places the organism in Eukaryota, Metazoa, Chordata, Aves, Passeriformes, Estrildidae. The record is from RefSeq and is a predicted model, not a curated record.